UGCCAGCAGCCGCGGUAAUACGGAGGGUGCUAGCGUUAUUCGGAAUGACUGGGCGUAAAGGGCGUGUAGGCGGUUAUAUAAGUUAGACGUGAAAGCCCCGGGCUUAACCUGGGAACAGCGUUUAAUACUGUAUGACUAGAGACCGAGAGAGGAAAGCGGAAUUCCUAGUGUAGGGGUGAAAUCCGUAGAUAUUCGGAGGAACACCAGUGGCGAAGGCGGCUUUCUGGACCGAUACUGACGCUGAGACGCGAAAGCGUGGGGAGCAAACAGGAUUAGAUA
RNAcentral lists this ribosomal RNA (279 nucleotides) under uncultured bacterium. Its description in RNAcentral is "partial 16S ribosomal RNA". It matches the Rfam family "Bacterial small subunit ribosomal RNA", at positions 506 to 784 of the family's 1533-position model. The record is from RNAcentral.